Molecule: non-coding RNA, 37 nt
Organism: Thioploca ingrica
Lineage: Bacteria; Pseudomonadati; Pseudomonadota; Gammaproteobacteria; Thiotrichales; Thiotrichaceae
Source: Rfam
GCUCUUGAGCUAUAUCCAGUACAACAAGGAUUGAAAC